RNAcentral lists this long non-coding RNA (308 nucleotides) under Brassica napus (rape). RNAcentral's name for it is "long non-coding RNA (BNAP_LNC000741)". The record is from RNAcentral. Lineage: Eukaryota; Viridiplantae; Streptophyta; Magnoliopsida; Brassicales; Brassicaceae.
UUUUUUUUUGACUGAAUUUUAUGGUAUAUUAGUUGUUGAGUUACGUUUGAAUAUGUAUGUCUGUAGGGUAACUGAUACUAAGAUCGGUUGGUAUGUGAAAGUUGACAUGUUCCCACGAAUAAUAAAUAAAACUUGCGAUUAGUCUGAAUUUUAAGGAUCAUCUUUGGUAAAACAAAUAAUAGUACUGAUUAAUGUAGAACAGGAGUUGAAUAGUAAUAUAAAGCAGGAAAUCUUAUGUAAACCGAAUUAUUAAAGGUAAUAGAAAAACCAUGGGUGGAAGUUAAAGGUGGGAGACGUGCGUGCGUUUA